UACGUAGGGGGCAAGCGUUAUCCGGAAUUACUGGGUGUAAAGGGAGCGUAGACGGUAAUGUAAGUCUGGAGUGAAAGGCGGGGGCCCAACCCCCGGACUGCUCUGGAAACUAUGUUACUAGAGUGCAGGAGGGGUAAGCGGAAUUCCUAGUGUAGCGGUGAAAUGCGUAGAUAUAUGGAGGAACACCGGUGGCGAAAGCGGCUCUCUGGCCUGUAACUGACACUGAGGCUCGAAAGCGUGGGGAGCAAACAGG
Molecule: ribosomal RNA, 253 nt
Filed under: uncultured bacterium
Lineage: Bacteria
Description: partial 16S ribosomal RNA
Rfam family: Bacterial small subunit ribosomal RNA
Source: RNAcentral